Molecule: ribosomal RNA, 896 nt
Filed under: Pseudomonas sp. A-39p
Lineage: Bacteria; Pseudomonadati; Pseudomonadota; Gammaproteobacteria; Pseudomonadales; Pseudomonadaceae
Description: bacterial SSU rRNA
Rfam family: Bacterial small subunit ribosomal RNA
Source: RNAcentral
UCAUGGCGGCGGCCUACACAUGCAGUCGAGCGGUAGAGAGAAGCUUGCUUCUCUUGAGAGCGGCGGACGGGUGAGUAAUGCCUAGGAAUCUGCCUGGUAGUGGGGGAUAACGUUCGGAAACGGACGCUAAUACCGCAUACGUCCUACGGGAGAAAGCAGGGGACCUUCGGGCCUUGCGCUAUCAGAUGAGCCUAGGUCGGAUUAGCUAGUUGGUGAGGUAAUGGCUCACCAAGGCUACGAUCCGUAACUGGUCUGAGAGGAUGAUCAGUCACACUGGAACUGAGACACGGUCCAGACUCCUACGGGAGGCAGCAGUGGGGAAUAUUGGACAAUGGGCGAAAGCCUGAUCCAGCCAUGCCGCGUGUGUGAAGAAGGUCUUCGGAUUGUAAAGCACUUUAAGUUGGGAGGAAGGGCAGUUACCUAAUACGUGAUUGUUUUGACGUUACCGACAGAAUAAGCACCGGCUAACUCUGUGCCAGCAGCCGCGGUAAUACAGAGGGUGCAAGCGUUAAUCGGAAUUACUGGGCGUAAAGCGCGCGUAGGUGGUUUGUUAAGUUGGAUGUGAAAUCCCCGGGCUCAACCUGGGAACUGCAUUCAAAACUGACUGACUAGAGUAUGGUAGAGGGUGGUGGAAUUUCCUGUGUAGCGGUGAAAUGCGUAGAUAUAGGAAGGAACACCAGUGGCGAAGGCGACCACCUGGACUAAUACUGACACUGAGGUGCGAAAGCGUGGGGAGCAAACAGGAUUAGAUACCCUGGUAGUCCACGCCGUAAACGAUGUCAACUAGCCGUUGGGAGCCUUGAGCUCUUAGUGGCGCAGCUAACGCAUUAAGUUGACCGCCUGGGGAGUACGGCCGCAAGGUUAAAACUCAAAUGAAUUGACGGGGGCCCGCACAA